RNAcentral lists this ribosomal RNA (470 nucleotides) under uncultured bacterium. Its description in RNAcentral is "bacterial SSU rRNA". It matches the Rfam family "Bacterial small subunit ribosomal RNA", at positions 28 to 487 of the family's 1533-position model. The record is from RNAcentral.
GAUGAACGCUAGCGGCAGGCUUAACACAUGCAAGUCGAGGGGUAACAGUGUUUAGUUUACUAGACAGCUGACGACCGGCGCACGGGUGCGUAACGCGUAUACAAUUUGCCUUUUACUGGAGAAUAGCCCAGAGAAAUUUGGAUUAAUGCUCCAUAGUAUUGUUUAAUCGCAUGGUUUUACAAUUAAAGUUCCGACGGUAAAAGAUGAGUAUGCGUCCUAUUAGCUAGUUGGUGAGGUAACGGCUCACCAAGGCAACGAUAGGUAGGGGUCCUGAGAGGGAGAUCCCCCACACUGGUACUGAGACACGGACCAGACUUCUACGGGAGGCAGCAGUGAGGAAUAUUGGUCAAUGGGCGCAAGCCUGAACCAGCCAUGCCGCGUGCAGGAAGACUGCCCUAUGGGUUGUAAACUGCUUUUUUAUACAGGAAGAAACCUUUCCACGUGUGGAGAGCUGACGGUACUGUAAGAAU